UAAUUUUAAGACUCUGUCUAUCACAAGUAUAAUAGAAUAACUCAACGUUUUUUAAUUCUUUUAUGUCACGAUUAACAUGGUAAUUUGGUAAACGGUAAUGGUAAUUAACAUGGUCAUUUCUCGGCCACUAUGAAAUUUUUCAAACAAAUGGCAUUCGUCCCAGCUAUUAGAAGAUCGUACGCUACUUUCUUCCAACCUUCUAUUUUUUUCAAACUAAUUUCAAGUCUGGAUAAACUCCCUCGUCAGUCUCGAGGCUAUUCGUCCAGGAAACUUUAAAAUUUUUUAAAUGUUUCGAUCUUCUCAGGCUUUGUGACUAAUAACAGGUUUCACUAUAUAAUUUGAAAGAAGUAUAACGCAAGGAAUUUUUGAUCACGUGAAACGUUGUAACCGAGGAUUAUCAUCAUUAUCUUGUCUGUCAUGGUUGGUGCGAUCCCGAUAAGAAAAUUCGUUAUCGGUGCUAUGGGAAGGCAUAGCAUGUUUAUUACACCGAGAGGUUCAAGAUGCGUAUACCUCUUGGCCCCUGGCACGAAAGGGCCGCCGGUAGCCAGGGGUUUUAUGCAAACGAACUAUCAGCUGAUUCAUCACCACCGCCUCUUAAUUAUUACUAUUAACGUUCCUAUGACUUUCUCACCUGCGGUAGUUUCAAUACCUCCCUAGCAAUAUUUAUUGCGUGCUAUACCUGCAAUUAGAAUAAUUUUAUAGCAGCCAGGUUGAUAGGUGCCGUACCGAGAGAAAAUACAAAGAGGAAGGUUGCAAGUAUUCAUGGUCGUGAAGAUUACAGUAAAAAAAGAUAAAAUUUAUGUAAGAAGCCAGUGGCGGUUUGAAGAUUAACAAUUGGCCUUUUCCCCUUUAAUCUAUGCGGUGUACUGUGUUGCAACCGAUGCAUAUUAAUGACGCGUAUAAAACACGAAUGUUCUUCCACGGUUUCCGUUAUCCAUUUGAUUCUCUGCCAAGCUGGCAAAUUUCUUUCGCUGGGAUUAAAGGAACUCGCCGAGUAAAGCGGCUGCUUUAUAAAUAUUGGAACAUGCUCGUAAAAAAAAGGUAAUAAGUAUCCUUAAAUUAUCAGGGAAGAAGUUGGACCGAUCGAAUCGUUGGAGUCAUACAAAAUGACGAUCAAAAGCAUAUGAUAAAAGAUGAUGGAAAUUGCUUGUAAAGAUUGAAAACGAAUAAUGAGUUCGUAGCACUGUAAUCGAAAUUUUAUUCAAAGAAAUUUGGAGUAUCAUCAUGGAGGAGAAUCAUUUCGAAAACUAUCAAUGUAAUAAGAGAAUUCUAGUAAUAUAAAUUAAUAUCGAGCUUGAUAGAAACGAGUUAUCGAUGGACGUGGCGAAUGUAAAAACUUUGGUUGUACAUAAUUGAUGAGAUUACUGUAACGUUAAAUAUUGUCUGCUUACUUAUGAAUGGGGAUAUGGGCUUUUCCGAGGGUGUCAAGAGGUUCGCGCAAAGUCAGCAGCAACACGGCGAGAUUGCAUGCCAGGAGAAUGCACGCGAGCAUGCACACGUAAACACCGGAGCGUGAUUCUUGUCAGAGAUUUAUAUUCACCCACAACGGCGGAUAUUAAUUCCGUCCCUAACCCACGGGAGAUUCUUAUUAGCCGGAAUUUACGUAACAUCCACGAGAAGUUGUUAUUUCCGUGACUCGUUCCUUCGAUUAGCCACCAGGAAGCUGUUCAGUAUCUUUGGAAUGCACGUGGGUGUGACUGAUGCACGCGAAUUUUAACCCGCGAAGGUUGUGCUUGAUUCGACAGAUAAAAGCGAAAUAUUUUUGUACAAAUCCUUAACUAAGCACAUCGAAGUGCUUGUCGAUGGAGAAUAAUUGUUACUGAAUACAUAGUACAGUAGAGAAGUCUUAGGCUAUCUAUGAUAGUGAUUUUCUAAUGGCAAUGAAUUAUAGUUUUAAGAAGUAUUUCCAUAUGGUGCUAUAUGGAAAGAGUUUUUUAAUAUUUCCUUCAUAGAACUAGUACUACUUGUUUGUAGUUUCUUCCGGCCUGCGAAUUUUUUAGAAAUAUUGCAAUAAAUAAUGUUCUGGUUUACAAAA
This is a long non-coding RNA of Bombus terrestris (buff-tailed bumblebee), 2035 nucleotides long. RefSeq lists it as uncharacterized. Lineage: Eukaryota; Metazoa; Arthropoda; Insecta; Hymenoptera; Apidae. The record is from RefSeq and is a predicted model, not a curated record. The transcript is spliced from 2 exons.